GAGCUUUCGUAAGAUUGGAUUAAUUUCGCAUCGUGCCUGACAAUAUAAUGGACUUUUAGUUUAAACAAAAAUUUCUUUGGAGCUCAGAAGCUUUGAAAGAUGCAAACCAAGAUCAAAGACUAAAGAUUCGAGUACCUAAACGGAAUAAACGGGAGAAUGAUUUCGAUUAUCUGGAUAUUCAAUAAAUUUAAGGAGCAGAAAUCAGUGUUGCAUUUUGAUGUGACACACAGCCGACUUACAACUACACACACCAGCAAGUAGUUGCGAUAAUGCUCCCAAAUACUUUUGCUGCAUUUAUUUUCUGAAAUAAUGCGAUGAUGAAAGUGCUAAUAAAUCUUACCGAAUUAAA
Uloborus diversus is the source of this 349-nucleotide long non-coding RNA. RefSeq lists it as uncharacterized. Lineage: Eukaryota; Metazoa; Arthropoda; Arachnida; Araneae; Uloboridae. The record is from RefSeq and is a predicted model, not a curated record. The transcript is spliced from 4 exons.